UAAAGCUCUUUGCAUUCCUAUGGACAG
RNAcentral lists this non-coding RNA (27 nucleotides) under Mus musculus (house mouse). Lineage: Eukaryota; Metazoa; Chordata; Mammalia; Rodentia; Muridae. The record is from RNAcentral.